CCUACGGGAGGCAGCAGUGGGGAAUAUUGGACAAUGGGGGCAACCCUGAUCCAGCCAUGCCGCGUGAGUGAUGAAGGCCUUCGGGUUGUAAAGCUCUUUUGGCGGGGACGAUGAUGACGGUACCCGCAGAAUAAGCCCCGGCUAACUUCGUGCCAGCAGCCGCGGUAAGACGAAGGGGGCUAGCGUUGUUCGGAAUUACUGGGCGUAAAGCGAGUGUAGGUGGUUUUCCAAGUUGGAUGUGAAAGCCUUGAGCUCAACUCAAGAAAUGCAUUCAGGACUGGAUGACUAGAGGACCGGAGAGGAUAGUGGAAUUCCCAGUGUAGUGGUGAAAUACGUAGAGAUUGGGAAGAACACCAGUGGCGAAGGCGGCUAUCUGGACGGUUUCUGACACUAAGACUCGAAAGCGUGGGGAGCAAACAGGAUUAGAUACCCUGGUAGUCCACGCCGUAAACGAUGGGUGCUAGACGUUGGCGAGCUUGCUCGUCAGUGUCGCAGCUAACGCGUUAAGCACCCCGCCUGGGGAGUACGGCCGCAAGGUUGAAACUCAAAUGAAUUGACGG
Molecule: ribosomal RNA, 560 nt
Filed under: uncultured bacterium
Lineage: Bacteria
Description: bacterial SSU rRNA
Rfam family: Bacterial small subunit ribosomal RNA
Source: RNAcentral